UUAAAUGAGAUAACAUACAUAGGAUACUCAACACAAAACCUGGCACACAGUAAGUGCUUACUAAGUGUAAGCAAUUAUACUAACAAGAGCCUGAGCUUUGAAGUCAGAUGAAAACAGAUUUGACUCCUAGCUCUUCGACUUAAAAAUUGCAUGAUCUUAAAUAAGUUAUGUAACCUUUCUGAGCCCCACUUGCCUCAACAGUGCAAGAUUAGUAUGAAUAUGCAGAGACACAUAUGCGAUACCUUUUACUUUUUAUUUGUAUUAUGACCCAUUUCAAACAGGAUUUGUGCUUACCUACCACAAACAAACAAACAGAAACAGCCCAAUGGCUUUCAUUAAAGCAAAUAAUAGAAUUAGCGUGUAGAAAAAGCAAAGGCAGGAAAAAUAAGAAAAAGUCAGAGAUAACACUAGGCUCUUAGAUAACAUCAUAAGAUUAGGUCACAAAUUUGGCUUUGAGCUUCUUAGCAUCCAAGGCAAUAAAGAAGGGAAAUAUGGUUCGUUAGAUGAUUCAUAGUGCCAAGAUAAAUGCAGAGGAGUUCUGAAGAAGAAACCCAGCUAUUCCUAGUUCUGAGACUUAAGAGACUAUAGCACAUGGUGGAUACACAAUAGAUAUAUAAAUGUUAGCUGUUCUCAUCUACAGCACAGAGGAAAGAGUGAGUCUAAGAAUAAGAGCAACAUGGGAGAGGUAACUUUCUAGCUGAACAAGACUGAAGAAAGAUUUUCCAAGUGCCUGGGGGGCUGGAGAGGAGUGGGAGCCUGUACAUAAGGGAAGCAGGUGACAGUAUCUGGACUGUCCCCACACAUUGACAGCAAGGCAGCUUUAAAUGGGGUUUCACACUGGGGUGAAGAUGUUUCCCUCUGGCUGAAAGGCACAGGAACUUUGUCGUAUGAGGAGGCUGGAGGGAAAGGAUGCCUCGCAAGCAUUGUCCAAGCAGCUGUUUUGGUUUAAAGGCUCUCCCUACUGGACAUCUGGUGUUUAAUGGCAAUCCUUUUUUUUUAGUGUGUUUUCUUUUGUUCUGUUUUCCUGAGGACCCAGACUUAGGGUUCUCAAGGAAAGAAAAUGGUCAAGACAGUUGUGGGGAAUGCUGCCCUUUUCCUUCAAUGUAAUGGCCUUCUCAGCCAUUAGAACCAGUGGAGAAAUUGUCACAUGGUGAAAGGGAUGGAGCUUGGAGGUACAAGUGAAGAAGGAAAGGUUCUGGUAUCAUUUAAACAGUAGGGAAAACAAAAACAUAGGAAUAUUGCUUUAACAGGACACCCACAUUCCUUUUCUCUGUGGCGUCCCAGAGAGGAGACUCUCAGAGCUAGAAUUUUAGCUUCUAGCUCCUCAGUUUGCGGAUGAAGACUCUGAGGCCCAGAGGGCUCAAAUAAACAUGUUUACAUCAUUUAGAUCACACAGAUAGUUCACAUCAGAGCCAGGUCUAGGACCUAUGCCUAUGGAUUCCUAGGCCAUAGGGCAUGUAGAAGAAAGUAGUCUUCUAUAACAUAUGUUAUGAUCUAGAGAAGAGACCUGAGGAAGAAGUUUGGGUGUCAGUCUGCAAGGCAGUAAAGCACAUGUGAAAUAGCUGUGAAGAUAUGGUCAGGGGCCUUUCUGCAUUGUAAUGACUAUGCGUUUGCCUCCUGGUGCUGCAGUGGCCACAACCCAACAGCUGCAAUCUCCAUGGAGCUCUCCCUGCUGGCCUGCCAUGGGAGAGCUCAUUGCCCUCAACCCACCUGGUACCUAUGAUGCUUCUUUGCUCAGUAAAUAAGCAUCUGUUCAAUCAUACAUUGUGCUUCACAGUGGAGGUUAAAUAGACAAGGGUAAAUGUGAUAAUCAUUAUAUUAAAGGGUUCUGUGGGAACACAGAAGAGAGAGCAUUUAGCCCUGCCUGGGAGUGGGAAGUGGUCAGGGAAGGUCUCUGAAAGAAAGGCUACCUGAACUUAGACUGAAGUGGGAGUAGGAAUGGACAGGAGGGGAGGGAAGAGGGCAUUGUAAGCAGAGAGUGUCACCAGGGAAGGACACCAUAGCAUAAGAAGGCAUAAAAUGUUCGGAAAAUGGAAAGUGGUUUGAUUUCCCAGAGUUGGGUAUGGAGAGGAGAUAUUUAUUAUGGCAAAAACUGCAAUUACUUUUGCACCAACCUAAUAGUACCAUACACAUCUCUUUUCUUUCUUUUCUUCUUUUUUUUUUUUUUUUUUGAGAUGGAGUCUCUCUCUGUUGCCCAGGCUGGAGUGCAGCGGUGCCAUCUUGGCUCACUGCAACCUCUGCCUCCCAGGUUCAAGUGAUCCUCCUGCCUCAGCCUCCCGAGUAGCUGGGACUACAGGCGUCUGCCACCACACCCAGCUAAUUUUUGUAUUUUUAGUAGAGACAGGGUUUCACCAUGUUGGUCAGGCUGGUCUCGAUCUCCGGACCUUAGGCGAUCCGCCAGUCUCGGCCUCCCAAAGUGCAGGAAUUACAGGUGUGAGCCACCACUCCCGGCCUACACUUGUUUCUUAGAGCCGCUGUAACAAUACACCGUAAACUCGGUGGCUUAAAACAACAAAAAAUGUAGUCUCUCAUAAUUCUGGAGGCCAGAAGUCUGAAAUCAAUAUGUCAACAGGGCCACCAUCCCUCUGAAGGUUUAGGAGGGAAUCUUUCCUUGGCUCUUCCUAGAUUCUGGUGACUUCCAGCACUCCUUGGCAUUCUUGGGUUGUAGCUGCCUUACUCCAAUCUGUCUCUAUCUUCACACGGCUUUCUUCUCUCUCUGUGUAUCUAUCUCUUCUGUGUCUGUAUGUCUUCUCCUCUUCUUAUAGGGACAUCAGUCAUUGGAUUCAGGGCCCAUCCUAAUCCAGUAUGACCUCAUCUUAACACAUUACAUCUCCAAAGAGUUUAUUUUCAAGUAAGGUCACAUUCUGAGGUUCUGGAUGGACAUGGAUUGUGGGAGGACAUGAUUCAACCCACUGUAAGUACUUUACUGAAGAGAGAGUAGCCAUCACUGUUUAGAUUCUCAAAAAAAGACCCCUAAUCCAAAUAGCUUGAAUCACUAUCUAGGUGAAUUUUGAAUUGGGAAAGUAGAAGAGAGACAAGAAGCAGGUUACUCAGACUUAUCAUGACCCUGUCACCCAGUUCCUAACCCCACAACCCAAUCACCUGAAUGAGCUGUUGACAGCCCUUCAUAAUGACUUCUUUGUGUACCUCCUAGUACUCUUCACCUACAGGAUGCCCAACCAACCAACGGGAAUGAGAAACAGGAUGUUACUGGGAACAAGUGUCUCUUUGCUCAUCUCAAGUUCCUUCAGCCAUAAAAUGGGGGUAGAAAUCAUUGCCCAGCCCACCUUAGAGGGUUGCUGGAGGAUUCUAAAAGAUAACUGAUUGAAGAAGUAUAUUGCAAGCUGUAAAGCCCACAGACUUGUUAGAGAAUGGUGUUCUGAUACCCUCUCUUCUCAUAUCACAUUCCCCUCGACACCCCUCUCCCCAACCCUCUGUCAGAAAAUAAGCAGGGGUAGUGGGAUAAACCUAGCAGAAAUCUGUGUUUUCUUCUGCUUUAGACAUGUGAGGAUGGCAGGCUCUGUGAAGAGCAUCCAAGUCCUCCUCUUCUUGGGACUUUGCCCUAAAUAACCUUUGCAUGGACAGAGUGUUGUUGCUUCAAGGUGUUCAUGCCCAGGGCGUUAAAAAUGAGCUAAUUAGGGAUUACGAUUAGGUUUGAAUUCCUGAACGCAACACUUGGUAUUAUUGCUGCCCUCUCAGAGACAAUUGAGUAGUCACUAAUUUCUAAGACUUCAAUACCUUUAGGGCUUCCUGGACUGCCUAGGAUAGGCAUAGCAUGAUCUCAUAAGCCCAGGCUAGUAGCUUAUUAUCUCAGCAAUCAUCUGUUUUCUACUGUUGCUCAGUCUGGAGUGCAGUGGGGUGAUCUUGGCUCACCUCCACCUCCCAGACUCAAGCAAUUCUCCUGCCUCAGCCUCCCAAGUAGCUGAGAUUACAGGUGUGUGCCACUACACCCGGCUAAUUUUUGUAUUUUUAGUAGAGACCAGUUUUGGCCUUGUUGGCCAGGCUGGUGUCAAACUCCUGGCCUCAAGUGAUUCACCAGCCUUGGCCUCCCAAAAU
This 4056-nucleotide long non-coding RNA is filed under the name Homo sapiens (human). RNAcentral's name for it is "non-protein coding lnc-MMD-6:1". Lineage: Eukaryota; Metazoa; Chordata; Mammalia; Primates; Hominidae. The record is from RNAcentral.